CGUGUGGUUCUAUUUUGUUGGUUUCUAGGACCGCCGUAAUGAUUAAUAGGGACAGUCGGGGACAUCAGUAUUCAAUUGUCAGAGGUGAAAUUCUUGGAUUUAUUGAAGACUAACUACUGCGAAAGCAUUUGCCAAGGAUGUUUUCAUUAAUCAGGAACGAAAGUUAGGGGAUCGAAGACGAUCAGAUACCGUCGUAGUCUUAACCAUAAACUAUGCCGACUAGGGAUCGGACGAUGUUACAUUUUUGACGCGUUCGGCACCUUACGAGAAAUCAAAGUGCUUGGGCUCCAGGGGGAGUAUGGUCGCAAGGCUGAAACUUAAAGAAAUUGACGGAAGGGCACCACCAGGGGUGGAGCCUGCGGCUUAAUUUGACUCAACACGGGGAAACUCACCAGGCCCAGACACAAUGAGGAUUGACAGAUUGAGAGCUCUUUCUUGAUUUUGUGGGUGGUGGUGCAUGGCCGUUCUUAGUUGGUGGAGUGAUUUGUCUGCUUAAUUGCGAUAACGAACGAGACCUUAACCUGCUAAAUAGCCCGUAUUGCUUUGGCAGUACGCCGGCUUCUUAGAGGGACUAUCGGCUCAAGCCGAUGGAAGUUUGAGGCAAUAACAGGUCUGUGAUGCCCUUAGAUGUCCUGGGCCGCACGCGCGCUACACUGACGGAGCCAGCGAGUACUCCCUUGGCCGGAAGCCUGGGUAAUCUUGUUAAACUCCGUCGUGC
Molecule: ribosomal RNA, 718 nt
Filed under: uncultured fungus
Lineage: Eukaryota; Fungi
Description: SSU rRNA
Rfam family: Eukaryotic small subunit ribosomal RNA
Source: RNAcentral